Molecule: ribosomal RNA, 409 nt
Filed under: Amanita sp. BEW-2011g
Lineage: Eukaryota; Fungi; Basidiomycota; Agaricomycetes; Agaricales; Amanitaceae
Description: LSU rRNA
Rfam family: Bacterial large subunit ribosomal RNA
Source: RNAcentral
AAAUUAUCCUCAUAAGUUAGACGAAAAGAGGUACCAUUUGUGAUUUCUAUUACUAAGACUUUGUUUUAAUAAUUGAUAGAUAAAUGGUGGCACAUAAUCGGAGGCCCCGACUGUUUACUAAAAACACAACACAGUGCAAUCAUUAAUAUGGUAGUAUACUGUGUGAAAUUUGCCCAAUGCCAUUAAUAUAAAAGCGGUCAUAGGAAACUGUGACUAAUUGAAAAUCUGGUUAAUAGCGGUCUUAACCAUGAGGAUCCUAAGGUAGCAAAAUAAAUUGGCCAUUAAAUGUGGUCCGGUAUCAAUAAUGUAACGAUGGCCUCACUGUCUCUACAACUUGCUCAGUGAAAUUGAAUUACGCGUGCAGAUGCGCGUUACCUCCAGUGGGACGGGAAGACCCUAUGCAGCUUCU